CAGGCAGCUUCUGCUAGUGUUUAGGUACUAGUGCAGUGUAGAACCCUUUUCUCAGGCAAAACCUAACAUCUGACCGCACCCUUUUUGCUAUUAAAAAAAAAAAAAAGCUUCUAUUUUUUUCCUCCUGUCGUUAAGAUAAAUUCUCCAGUAGACAACCUCUCCCACUAAUUGUGUAUUAGCAACGUAUUUUAUCUUGAGAGCUUGUACACUGGGCUCUCAACGUGGUGUGGAAGGUAGCCUGUUACAGUGCUGGAUUCAUAAAAGGGCCUUUAUGGUUUGUGAAAGAAUAUCUGUGUGCUUAGGGAGGAAACUUUUUGAUCUGCAGAAAAGCCAGAAGACAUCUAGGACAUCCAUAAAAAUUCAUCAGAGAGCAUUUUACUACUGAGCUGCAAAGGGAAAAACUUAAAAUGGAUAUGAAAAGUGAAGAAAGUGAUCAUAGGAGAAAACCAUUUCAGGUGUCUGAUGAUUUGUGAGCCUCAAGUGACUACUCUGUGGAAUCAUCUGUCCUUGCCUUUGAAUUAGCUUUCCCUAGGCCAUGAGUCAACAUUAGUAGUUUAUACAUCCAAAUUGUGUUGACUUCAUUCUCAGAUGACAAGAGCACCUCAAAGGCAGCAGCCUCAAGGAGCAGCCAUGGCCCCAGACUUGUCGCACGGAUGCAGAAAACUUAAUGGAGGAGGCUGAGGUCAGAAUGGGAAGAGUUUUUAAAAAAUAAAAAGGGGAGCUAAUAUGUGAGGAA
This 736-nucleotide long non-coding RNA is filed under the name Homo sapiens (human). RNAcentral describes it as "mir-99a-let-7c cluster host gene". The record is from RNAcentral. Lineage: Eukaryota; Metazoa; Chordata; Mammalia; Primates; Hominidae.